This 301-nucleotide ribosomal RNA is filed under the name uncultured bacterium. Its description in RNAcentral is "partial 16S ribosomal RNA". It matches the Rfam family "Bacterial small subunit ribosomal RNA", at positions 509 to 807 of the family's 1533-position model. The record is from RNAcentral.
CAGUCGCCGCGGGAAAACGUAGGUGGCAAGCGUUGUCCGGAAUUAUUGGGCGUAAAGGGCUCGCAGGCGGUUUCUUAAGUCUGAUGUGAAAGCCCCCGGCUCAACCGGGGAGGGUCAUUGGAAACUGGGAAACUUGAGUGCAGAAGAGGAGAGUGGAAUUCCACGUAUAGCGGUGAAAUGCGUAGAGAUGUGGAGGAACACCAGUGGCGAAGGCGACUCUCUGGUCUGUAACUGACGCUGAGGAGCGAAAGCGUGGGGAGCGAACAGGAUUAGAUACCCCGGUAGUCCCUGUCUCUUAUAC